CCUACGGGGGGCAGCAGUGAGGAAUAUUGGUCAAUGGGCGCGAGCCUGAACCAGCCAAGUCGCGUGAGGGAGGACGGCCCUACGGGUUGUAAACCUCUUUUGCCGGGGAGCAACGGGCGUCACGUGUGGCGCCACGGAGAGGACCCGGAGAAAAAGCAGCGGCGAACUCCGUGCCAGCAGCCGCGGUAAUACGGAGGAUGCGAGCGUUAUCCGGAUUUAUUUGGUUUAAGGGGGGCGUAGGCGGAUCGUUAAGUCAGUGGUCAAAUUGAGGGGCUCACCCCCUUCCCGCCAUUGAAACUGGCGCUCUUGAGUGGACGAGAAGUAUGCGGACUGCGUGGUGUAGCGGU
Molecule: ribosomal RNA, 347 nt
Filed under: uncultured bacterium
Lineage: Bacteria
Description: partial 16S ribosomal RNA
Rfam family: Bacterial small subunit ribosomal RNA
Source: RNAcentral